GACAGAGGGUGCAAACGUUGUUCGGAAUUACUGGGCGUAAAGCGAGUGUAGGCGGUCUACUAAGUCGGGUGUGAAAGCCCUGGGCUCAACCCAGGAAGUGCACUCGAAACUGGUGGGCUAGAGUAUCGGAGAGGUUGGUGGAAUUCUCGGUGUAGAGGUGAAAUUCGUAGAUAUCGAGAGGAACACCGGUGGCGAAGGCGGCCAACUGGACGAAUACUGACGCUGAGACUCGAAAGCGUGGGGAGCAAACAGG
This 253-nucleotide ribosomal RNA is filed under the name uncultured bacterium. Its description in RNAcentral is "partial 16S ribosomal RNA". It matches the Rfam family "Bacterial small subunit ribosomal RNA", at positions 524 to 776 of the family's 1533-position model. The record is from RNAcentral.